UACGGAGGGUGCAAGCGUUGCUCGGAAUCACUGGGCGUAAAGCGCACGCAGGCGGCGAGGCAAGUCGGAUGUGAAAGCCCUGGGCUCAACCCAGGAAGUGCAUUCGAAACUGCCUUGCUUGAGUUCGGGAGAGGGUGGUGGAAUUCCUGGUGUAGAGGUGAAAUUCGUUGAUAUCAGGAGGAACACCGGCGGCGAAGGCGGCCACCUGGCCCGAUGCUGACGCUCAUGUGCGAAAGCGUGGGGAGCAAACAGG
This 253-nucleotide ribosomal RNA is filed under the name uncultured bacterium. RNAcentral's name for it is "partial 16S ribosomal RNA". It matches the Rfam family "Bacterial small subunit ribosomal RNA", at positions 524 to 776 of the family's 1533-position model. The record is from RNAcentral.